UACAGAGGUCCCGAGCGUUGUUCGGAUUCAUUGGGCGUAAAGGGUGCGUAGGCGGUCUUCUAAGUUUGAUGUGAAAUCCCGGGGCUCAACCCUGGAAUUGCAUUGAAUACUGGAGGACUAGAGUACCGGAGAGGAAACUGGAAUUUACGGUGUAGCAGUGAAAUGCGUAGAGAUCGUAAGGAAGACCAGUGGCGAAGGCGAGUUUCUGGACGGUAACUGACGCUGAGGCACGAAGGCCAGGGGAGCAAACGGG
This 253-nucleotide ribosomal RNA is filed under the name uncultured bacterium. RNAcentral describes it as "partial 16S ribosomal RNA". It matches the Rfam family "Bacterial small subunit ribosomal RNA", at positions 524 to 776 of the family's 1533-position model. The record is from RNAcentral.